UAGGGAAUCUUCGGCAAUGGGGGGAACCCUGACCGAGCAACGCCGCGUGAGUGAAGAAGGCUUUCGGAUCGUAAAGCUCUGUUGUUAAGGAAGAACGAGUGUGAGAAUGGAAAGUUCAUGCUGUGACGGUACUUAACCAGAAAGGGACGGCUAACUACGUGCCAGCAGCCGCGGUAAUACGUAGGUCCCGAGCGUUGUCCGGAUUUAUUGGGCGUAAAGGGUACGUAGGUGGUUUUUUAAGUCAGGUGUCAAAGCGUGGAGCUUAACUCCAUUAAGCACUUGAAACUGAAAGACUUGAGUGAAGGAGAGGAAAGUGGAAUUCCUAGUGUGGCGGUGAAAUGCGUAGAUAUUAGGAGGAAUACCGGUGGCGAAGGCGACUUUCUGGACUUUUACUGACGCUGAGGCCCGAAAGCGUGGGUAGCAAACAGG
RNAcentral lists this ribosomal RNA (429 nucleotides) under Verrucomicrobiota bacterium. Its description in RNAcentral is "Verrucomicrobia bacterium partial 16S ribosomal RNA". It matches the Rfam family "Bacterial small subunit ribosomal RNA", at positions 355 to 776 of the family's 1533-position model. The record is from RNAcentral. Lineage: Bacteria; Pseudomonadati; Verrucomicrobiota.